This 253-nucleotide ribosomal RNA is filed under the name uncultured bacterium. RNAcentral's name for it is "partial 16S ribosomal RNA". It matches the Rfam family "Bacterial small subunit ribosomal RNA", at positions 524 to 776 of the family's 1533-position model. The record is from RNAcentral.
GACGUAGGGCGCGAGCGUUGUCCGGAUUUAUUGGGCGUAAAGAGCUCGUAGGCGGCUUGUCGCGUCGUCCGUGAAAACCUGCAGCUCAACUGCAGGCUUGCGGUCGAUACGGGCAGGCUAGAGUGUGGUAGGGGAGACUGGAAUUCCUGGUGUAGCGGUGAAAUGCGCAGAUAUCAGGAGGAACACCGAUGGCGAAGGCAGGUCUCUGGGCCACUACUGACGCUGAGAAGCGAAAGCAUGGGGAGCGAACAGG